Molecule: unclassified non-coding RNA, 571 nt
Filed under: Aspergillus tabacinus
Lineage: Eukaryota; Fungi; Ascomycota; Eurotiomycetes; Eurotiales; Aspergillaceae
Description: sequence contains 18S rRNA gene, ITS1, 5.8S rRNA gene, ITS2, 28S rRNA gene
Rfam family: 5.8S ribosomal RNA (bases 200-353)
Source: RNAcentral
UCGUAACAAGGUUUCCGUAGGUGAACCUGCGGAAGGAUCAUUACUGAGUGCGGGCUGCCUCCGGGCGCCCAACCUCCCACCCGUGACUACCUAACACUGUUGCUUCGGCGGGGAGCCCUCUCGGGGGCGAGCCGCCGGGGACUACUGAACUUCAUGCCUGAGAGUGAUGCAGUCUGAGUCUGAAUAUAAAAUCAGUCAAAACUUUCAACAAUGGAUCUCUUGGUUCCGGCAUCGAUGAAGAACGCAGCGAACUGCGAUAAGUAAUGUGAAUUGCAGAAUUCAGUGAAUCAUCGAGUCUUUGAACGCACAUUGCGCCCCCUGGCAUUCCGGGGGGCAUGCCUGUCCGAGCGUCAUUGCUGCCCAUCAAGCCCGGCUUGUGUGUUGGGUCGUCGUCCCCCCCGGGGGACGGGCCCGAAAGGCAGCGGCGGCACCGUGUCCGGUCCUCGAGCGUAUGGGGCUUUGUCACCCGCUCGAUUUAGGGCCGGCCGGGCGCCAGCCGACGUCCAACCAUUUUUCUUCAGGUUGACCUCGGAUCAGGUAGGGAUACCCGCUGAACUUAAGCAUAUCAAUA